UACGAAGGGGGCGAGCGUUGCUCGGAAUUACUGGGCGUAAAGCGCACGUAGGCGGAUACUUAAGUCAGGGGUGAAAUCCCGGGGCUCAACCCCGGAACUGCCUUUGAUACUGGGUAUCUCGAGUCCGGAAGAGGUGAGUGGAAUUCCGAGUGUAGAGGUGAAAUUCGUAGAUAUUCGGAGGAACACCGGUGGCGAAGGCGGCUCACUGGUCCGGUACUGACGCUGAGGUGCGAAAGCGUGGGGAGCAAACAGG
RNAcentral lists this ribosomal RNA (253 nucleotides) under uncultured bacterium. RNAcentral's name for it is "partial 16S ribosomal RNA". It matches the Rfam family "Bacterial small subunit ribosomal RNA", at positions 524 to 776 of the family's 1533-position model. The record is from RNAcentral.